AUGGAAUCCAGGAAGGAAAAUGGAAAUGAGAACUUCUUCUGCCUAGAAUGUUAGCUUCUUGAGAUCAGAGACUUUAUCUUGCUCACUGCUGAGUCUGCAGCUUUACCAGAGCGCUUGGCACAUAGUAGGGCUUUCAUAAGUAUGAAUGAAUGGAUGAAUAAAUAUUUCAAUCUGCAACAACUUUUCCAGGUGCUGACUGAGAAUCAAACCAUAAGAUGCAGAGUUGAAUCUUAAGAAACUUCAAUGGACUUUUAUAAUUGAGAACUGGAUCUUCACAUUUCUGAGGAAAAUGACAGUUUGUGACAGAGCACCUAACAAUGUGGCAAAUCAGGAUACAUAGACCACUUGGAAGACCAAACAUUGAACCCUAGCAGAAGGAAAGCAAUUCUGCCAACGGGGGGGAAAUGACACAUGAAAGCAAUGUUUCUCAAAGUGUAAUCUCCAGGAUGCUAGUUCCACAGCUAUUAAUGGGCCUUACUUAAUAAAGGUUUCAUGACAAAUAGUUUUGAGAAACGUGGGGUUCGAUGA
Long non-coding RNA from Lontra canadensis (Northern American river otter), 528 nucleotides. RefSeq lists it as uncharacterized. The record is from RefSeq and is a predicted model, not a curated record. The transcript is spliced from 3 exons. Lineage: Eukaryota; Metazoa; Chordata; Mammalia; Carnivora; Mustelidae.